This 950-nucleotide long non-coding RNA is filed under the name Homo sapiens (human). RNAcentral describes it as "long intergenic non-protein coding RNA 1524". Lineage: Eukaryota; Metazoa; Chordata; Mammalia; Primates; Hominidae. The record is from RNAcentral.
GGUGGCUGUAUGAUCUUAAGUAAGCCCAUUUUGCUUCAAUUUUCUUAUCUAGAAAAUGGGGAUAAUAACACCCAUGUUAUAGAGUUAUUCUGAUGAUUUCUAAGAGUCUCAGAGACCUAGGAUCCACAAAAUCAAAACAACAAAACCAAGCCUUUGUGCACAUCUGUGGUUGUGACCAGUUGGAGAGACAUUAGGAGAUGAGAUACUAUGUUCACUCCUCACAGCUGUACCAGGGACCUGAGAUAUUCCGUCACUAUUCUAUGAAUGGUCUGGCUUGAUGAUAUCCAACCUGACGUGGCCUGAAGAGACAGACAGUGGCUCUUGCUAGCUAAUUAUUGUCAGAUGGAUCGGCAGCCGACCAACGCUUCUGAAACUAUUGUUUUUGGCAAAUGUUCCUCAACAUUUUCCUGGGAGCUAUGGUGCAUUACUCACGAGUGACAGAACCAACGAGCUUCAUCUCCCAAGAGGCUGGUGCAUCUGUUUAAAGGAGCAGGCACUAGGCAGAGCAGCCCCCACCCCACCCUCCAUGGCAGAGUGCAGUGGGGGAAGAAGUUUUCAUAGAAAUGCUUUCUAUAAAGCAUUUUCAUAGAGAAAGCAGGUUCAUAUAGAAAGCACUGGCUGCUGGUUGGAGUGGAGAGAUUGAAGACCCUCAUCUAGGAUCAAGCAACCCCCAGAAAACAAUUUUAAACAUGUCCAUUCAGACAAAAGGAGUCCAAAACCAUAAGAUCCUCUCAGCAUCCUGAACUAAUGUCCAGCUGUUAUCUCGGGAUGGGAUUUCACCAUGUUGUCCAAGCUGGUUUUGAACUCCUGGGGUCAAGAAAUCCACCUGCUUCGGCCUCCCACAGUGCUGGGAUUACAGAUUGUGCUUUUGGUGUUACAUCUAAGAAAUCUUUGCUUUUGAUUAUUUUAAAAAUUGAUUUUCUCAUCAAGUAAAAGAAAAUGUACUUUCA